AGUCUUGGUCAUUAAGAGGAAGUAAAAGUCGUAACAAGGUUUCCGUAGGUGAACCUGCGGAAGGAUCAUUAACGAGUUUUGAAUGGAGUUGUUCUGGUCUUUCGGGGCAAGUGAACGCUUCUCUCAAUUCACCUUACACCUGUGCACUUUAUGGGGAACUACUUGGAUCUAAGUUGGAUAACGACGGUGGUCUAGAGUGUCCUCUUUUAUACCAAACUACAGUAUUAGAAAGUCUUUUUUGCUUGAUGCAAAACAAAUACAACUUUCAGCAACGGAUCUCUUGGCUCUCGCAUCGAUGAAGAACGCAGCGAAAUGCGAUAAGUAAUGUGAAUUGCAGAAUUCAGUGAAUCAUCGAAUCUUUGAACGCACCUUGCACUCCUUGGUAUUCCGAGGAGUAUGCCUGUUUGAGUGUCAUGAAAUCAUCAACUUCAUAGUUUUAUUACUGUUGAGGCUUGGAUUUGGAAGCUGCUGGCUCUUAGUCGGCUCUUCUUAAAUGUAUUAGCUGCUUGUCCUUGAGUUGGCUCAGAGUGUGAUAAGUAUCUACACUUGGUGGCUGCUUCAUUAGGAUGUGGCUUCUAAUCCGUCUUAGGACAAUUAUUUAAGAUCUGACCUCAAAUCAGGUAGGACUACCCGCUGAACUUAAGCAUAUCAAUAAGCGGAGGAAAAGAAACUAACAAGGAUUCCCCUAGUAACGGCGAGUGAAGCGGGAAAAGCUCAAAUUUAAAAUCUGGCUGUCUUAGGCAGUCCGAGUUGUAAUCUGGAGAAGUG
Molecule: ribosomal RNA, 768 nt
Filed under: uncultured Xenasmataceae
Lineage: Eukaryota; Fungi; Basidiomycota; Agaricomycetes; Russulales; Xenasmataceae
Description: eukaryotic LSU rRNA
Rfam family: 5.8S ribosomal RNA (bases 261-414)
Source: RNAcentral